Molecule: small nuclear RNA, 98 nt
Filed under: Mus caroli (Ryukyu mouse)
Lineage: Eukaryota; Metazoa; Chordata; Mammalia; Rodentia; Muridae
Description: snRNA (MGP_CAROLIEiJ_G0034935.1)
Source: RNAcentral
GUGCUGGCUUUGGCAGCACACAAGCUAAAUGGAAACUAUUCAGAGAAGACUGGCGUGCCCCACGUAGGAUAAUGCGCAAAUCCAUGAAGUGUUUAAAA